RNAcentral lists this transfer RNA (77 nucleotides) under Bacillota bacterium. RNAcentral describes it as "Firmicutes bacterium (anaerobic digester metagenome) tRNA-Val". It matches the Rfam family "tRNA". Rfam says of the family: Transfer RNA (tRNA) molecules are approximately 80 nucleotides in length. Their secondary structure includes four short double-helical elements and three loops (D, anti-codon, and T loops). The record is from RNAcentral. Lineage: Bacteria; Bacillati; Bacillota.
GGGGGCGUAGCUCAGAUGGUUAGAGCGCUUGCUUGACAUGCAAGAGGUCAUCGGUUCGACUCCGCUCGCUCCCACCA